CACGGUCCCGACAGCAGAACAGGUGUCCCACUGGGCUGGCACUUGGCACCCUUACUCGGCCUUCCGCUCUGCCAUGCACCCAACACUCCCCCCCCAGCUGGAAGAUAACAGGUUUAACAUAAGGAAAGGUUUAACAUAAGGAAAGGACAGAUACCUGGCCUGUUCCAAGCAACCUGAACACCCCUGAGAAAGACACCGGCAAAUGUCGCAGCCAUUAGCAGGUGCUGAUCUUGGCAGUCAGCCUGUAUCACGCCACCCUUAUCAGCACAUUUGGAUCAUGCCCCUUUAUCUCUGACAACUUCUGCGAGAGACACGGGACUAUAAAAUGAGAUGCAGCUUUGCUUCUGACAGUUCACAGGCAAGAGAAGGAGGAGAGACACCUUCCAGAAACGUCCGCCUAUCAACAGAGACCCAUCGACACUGGCUAAGGUAUCAGUUGCCAAGAUGCUGACCCUCUGGGCCCUGGUCAUCACGAUGACCGUCCAGGCAGGAGCACUUGACCUGCAGACUUCAUCUUUACUGCUGGGAAAUCUUCCUGUCAAUCAAUUAGCCACUGAGGCUUUCAGAAAAGCCCCUCUCGAUCUAACUGGAAGACGGCUCAGUAGUCCCCAGAGAACCCCUCCAUUCAGAAAACGUCAAGCUAGGACCCCAGGAGGCAGGUGUCUACCCGUGGCCAAGUACUUACUGUCCCAAAGCAAACUUGAAGAAUAUAUGAACACCACCUUGCCCCCAAAGAUCCAGAAGAAGCUGAUGUGUGAGAAGGUACUUCUGUCUGGUACAAUUGGAAAAGUGCUAUCCACGGUGACUAACUCCGACCUACUGUCUAUAUUAGACAUCACUUCAGCCCUCAACUUACCUGGAGGUGAUGCUCUUGGUGGCAUCCUGGGCAAAGGAAGUGGUGGCCUGACCUCUCAGCUCCCACUGCCAUCACUCUCAAAAGUCACUGACACCCUCAGUAUCGCAGGGGAUCUGGGCAGC
Molecule: long non-coding RNA, 978 nt
Organism: Neogale vison (American mink)
Lineage: Eukaryota; Metazoa; Chordata; Mammalia; Carnivora; Mustelidae
Exons: 3
Source: RefSeq, a predicted model, not a curated record